UAAGAGUAUUUUGACUAAUUUUUCAAAAAUCUAGCCCGACUCUACAAAAUAAAAAAAAAGUGGUCUAGAUUUACAAAAACUCAGAACUUAUCGAGAUAAUUUUUCUACUGGUGCAACAUAAUUUAUCAUCCAAAUAAAACAUAUAACAGUUAUACUACGCACGCCAUGAUCUCUCACACGUAACUCAUCCAAUUAAGGCUUCGUUUGGGAUUGCGGGGAGAUUGCGUUACGAGCAGUGAGAAAGUACGUUGGAAAAAUACCAUUGUAUGUUUCCGUACGUAAUAUUGCGUUCCGUAUAUCGCGAUGAGCCGGUUACGAUAUAUUUUCUGCGUUCACACUAAAGAACACAGAAGCAUAUUCCUAUAUGCUUUUUUAUAACUCCAUUUUAUCUAAUAACGUUUGAUAGGCCUCAAUACCAAAUUAAGCCUAAUACUCAUCACGCCUCCUCAAAACAAGUUCCCACUCAAAAAAAUUUCAUUAACAUUGUUCACCAUAUCACUUGU
This 503-nucleotide long non-coding RNA is filed under the name Ananas comosus (pineapple). Its description in RNAcentral is "long non-coding RNA (ACOM_LNC042618)". The record is from RNAcentral. Lineage: Eukaryota; Viridiplantae; Streptophyta; Magnoliopsida; Poales; Bromeliaceae.